Oncorhynchus kisutch (coho salmon) is the source of this 1587-nucleotide long non-coding RNA. RefSeq lists it as uncharacterized. NCBI's taxonomy places the organism in Eukaryota, Metazoa, Chordata, Actinopteri, Salmoniformes, Salmonidae. The record is from RefSeq and is a predicted model, not a curated record. The transcript is spliced from 3 exons.
AGUUGCCGUUUUUGCAAUCUCUUACAUGUAACAUAUUACAUGUAAUCCGUUACUCCCCAACCCUGAAUAUGGUUUGAAAAAAACUACAACUACUGAGCAAUUUGGAAAGAUUUGUUUUUCCAGGAGUGGUUUUCUCUUUGAAGAUACAAGGAAGUUUGAGCAUCUGUAUAAUCGUCGGCAAGGAAACGAGACGCUGCACAGCAAAGGAAAAUCUUGCGCAGGAGAGCAUACAUACAUACCUCUCACGUCAAUCAUGAUUAGUUCGUGAAAUAGUCAGAAACUGUUACAUACUUUCCCGCGGAUUGAAGUAACGCUAUAUAGUGACACAAGUUUGAAGUUUUAGUGACAAGGAAUUGUCAGGAUGAAACAUGUCUGUCGAGGAGAAUAUUCCCCCCUUUUAGGAGGAUGACAGAGUAAAGUUUAUAAAAACAAACGUUUUGUCGGAUUUUGGAAGUGAGGCAGGAAACCUGGGAGAAGAAGUGUGUUACAGUCGAGGAAAGCCAGACCGUUCUGAAAGGUGUCUUCGAAAAGCAAGGUAUUGUUUUUGACUCUACCGUCGACUGGUGCUCCCCGAGUGCAGUGUGGAGGUCUGGACAAUGACCAAGUGGAGGGAGAUAAACAUGGACCAGAUGGGCGCAGAGCUCAGGAGGUUUGUCAAGAUACCUUGUAACUGGCGAUUCCUUCAAAAUGAUUGCUUACAGUUACUGUGCAAGGUUGGGUGACCAGGGCCAUCUGGGACUGCCUCCUGGAGGAAUUCAGGUGUGUGAAGGCUACCUGUGUUCUGCAUAACUUCAUGAGGAUAGACACAAGGACCAGGAGGGGAUCUGCAGCUUCCGCUGUGUGUCAGAGGAGAAGUCUGCUGUUCUGCAGGAUGUUUCAAAGAUGGGGUCCAACAACCAGCAAGAGAGGCAAUCCAUGUGCGGGAGAUCUGCACCUCCUACUUCUUAGACGAGGUUGCUGUUCCCUGGCAACACCAUAGACUACACUAUGCACAACCAAAGGCUCUUUUAAGAGCCAUUCACAUUGCAAAAUUAAUAUUCUUCCAUUUACUUGGCUAUGUCAACUGCAGUUAUUAAAAUCCCAGUUUCUCUCCCUUUCUACUUAUCAGGUAAGGGUUUGACGUCUGUACAAAAACAAAAACAGGCUAUUUUAAAUCACCCAUAUUGAAAAAAUGUACAACAAUUAGACACCCUAUAACCCACACACUCAUGUAUAAAUCUGAUUGACGGAUUGUGUUGUGCAGUAAGCAGGCUCGGGUGUAUAACUGUGGCUCCUUCCACCUUCAAAGAAUAGGCAAGAGGGCCAACCAUGGAGAAUAGGCAAGAGGGCCAACCAUGGAGAAUAGUACGACACCUCAUUAUUUCUGUAACUACUCUGCAUUGUUUGUCCGUUCAUGUUUUUCAGCAUAAAGUGCUCUGCAGACACUUUCCCUUUGUCUUUUACACCUCUCUAACUGCCCCCUCUUUCCUCCACUGUUGUAUAAUGCACAACAGAUGUGCAUGGAAGUACAGGUUGAACUUGUAUUUAUAAUGCUUGUAUUUAUAACAUUUGGAUAAUUAACUUCCUUCAAUAAAGCGUUUCAUAUUC